This 466-nucleotide ribosomal RNA is filed under the name uncultured bacterium. RNAcentral describes it as "partial 16S ribosomal RNA". It matches the Rfam family "Bacterial small subunit ribosomal RNA", at positions 28 to 507 of the family's 1533-position model. The record is from RNAcentral.
GACGAACGCUGGCGGCGUGCUUAACACAUGCAAGUCGAACGGAAAGGCCCUGCUUGCAGGGUACUCGAGUGGCGAACGGGUGAGUAACACGUGGGUGAUCUGCCCUGCACUUCGGGAUAAGCCUGGGAAACUGGGUCUAAUACCGGAUAGGAGCCAUUUUUAGUGUGAUGGUUGGAAAGUUUUUUUCGGUGUAGGAUGAGCUCGCGGCCUAUCAGCUUGUUGUUGGGGUAAUGGCCUACCAAGGCGGCGACGGGUAGCCGGCCGGAGAGGGUGGACGGCCACAUUGGGACUGAGAUACGGCCCAGACUCCUACGGGAGGCAGACGUGGGGAAUAUUGCACAAUGGGCGCAAGCCUGAUGCAGAGACGCCGCGUGGGGGAGGACGGCCGUCGGGUUGGAAACUCCUUUCGCUAGGGACGAAGCUUUUUGUGACGGUACCUAGAGAAGAAGCACCGGCUAACUACGUG